Molecule: ribosomal RNA, 253 nt
Filed under: uncultured bacterium
Lineage: Bacteria
Description: partial 16S ribosomal RNA
Rfam family: Bacterial small subunit ribosomal RNA
Source: RNAcentral
UACAGAGGUCUCAAGCGUUGUUCGGAUUCAUUGGGCGUAAAGGGUGCGUAGGUGGCUUGUUAAGUUGAAGGUGAAAUCUCGGGGCUCAACUCCGAAACUGCCUUCAAUACUGGCGAGCUCGAGGACUGUAGAGGAGAAUGGAAUUCACGGUGUAGCAGUGAAAUGCGUAGAUAUCAAGUGGAACACCAGUGGCGAAGGCGAGUCUCUGGACAUUUCCUGACGCUGAGGCACGAAAGCCAGGGGAGCAAACGGG